AGUUCGGUCCCUAUCCGUCGCGGGCGUAGGUAAUUUGAGAGGAUCUGUCCUUAGUACGAGAGGACCGGGAUGGACUUACCGCUGGUGUACCAGUUGUUCCGCCAGGAGCACGGCUGGAUAGCUAUGUAGGGAAGGGAUAAGCGCUGAAAGCAUCUAAGUGCGAAGCCCACCUCAAGAUGAGAUUACCCAUUCGUAAGAAUUAAGAGCCCAGAGAGAUGAUCUGGUAGAUAGGCUGGAAGUGGAAGAGUUGCGAGACUUGGAGCGGACCAGUACUAAUCGCUCGAGGACUUUACCAA
This is a ribosomal RNA of 296 nucleotides. It matches the Rfam family "Bacterial large subunit ribosomal RNA", at positions 2628 to 2925 of the family's 2925-position model. The record is from Rfam.